This 108-nucleotide small RNA is filed under the name Chlamydia pneumoniae. RNAcentral's name for it is "Pseudoknot of the domain G(G12) of 23S ribosomal RNA". It matches the Rfam family "Bacterial large subunit ribosomal RNA", at positions 2309 to 2416 of the family's 2925-position model. The record is from RNAcentral. Lineage: Bacteria; Pseudomonadati; Chlamydiota; Chlamydiia; Chlamydiales; Chlamydiaceae.
CCCAAAGCUUAUUUCAUCGUGGUUGGCAAUCACGAGUAGAGCGUAAAGGUAUAAAAUAGGUUGACUGCAAGACUUACAAGUCGAGCAGAGACGAAAGUCGGGCUUAGU